This 285-nucleotide unclassified non-coding RNA is filed under the name plant metagenome. RNAcentral describes it as "partial contains small subunit ribosomal RNA, internal transcribed spacer 1, and 5.8S ribosomal RNA". The stretch from base 1 to 54 matches the Rfam family "Eukaryotic small subunit ribosomal RNA", at positions 1778 to 1831 of the family's 1831-position model. The record is from RNAcentral.
GGAAGUAAAAGUCGUAACAAGAUUUCCGUAGGUGAACCUGCGGAAGGAUCAUUAUCGUAUAACCGAGGUGCGAGGGCUGUCGCUGACCCGAAAGGUCGUGCACGCCCGAGUGCCCUCACACACAUCCAUCUCACCCCUAUGUGCACCACCGCGUGGGUCCCCCUUUGGCUUGUUCGGAGGGGGGCUUACGUUUUCACACAAACUUUGUAUGCAGUGUAGAAUGUAUUUUUUGUUUUUGCGAUCACGCAAUCAAUACAACUUUCAACAACGGAUCUCUUGGCUCUC